Molecule: ribosomal RNA, 217 nt
Filed under: uncultured bacterium
Lineage: Bacteria
Description: partial 16S ribosomal RNA
Rfam family: Bacterial small subunit ribosomal RNA
Source: RNAcentral
ACGCUCGACACCUACGGGAGGAGCAGUGAGGAAUAUUGGUCAAUGGACGCAAGUCUGAACCAGCCAUGCCGCGUGCAGGAUGACGGCUCUAUGAGUUGUAAACUGCUUUUGUACGAGGGUAAACGCAGAUACGUGUAUCUGUCUGAAAGUAUCGUACGAAUAAGGAUCGGCUAACUCCGUGCCAGCAGCCGCGGUAAUCUGAGCGGGCUGGCAAGGC